GAGAGCCUGGGUACGGGGCCGGGACGCUGUUUGAGAGUCCUCUAUGAAUCUCACAGUGAACCGGUCUCUUUUCCAGCCCCUCACU
MicroRNA precursor from Takifugu rubripes (torafugu), 85 nucleotides. Ensembl annotates it as microRNA mir-128-1. Its record names the gene mir128-1. Lineage: Eukaryota; Metazoa; Chordata; Actinopteri; Tetraodontiformes; Tetraodontidae. The record is from Ensembl.